Molecule: ribosomal RNA, 253 nt
Filed under: uncultured bacterium
Lineage: Bacteria
Description: partial 16S ribosomal RNA
Rfam family: Bacterial small subunit ribosomal RNA
Source: RNAcentral
UACAGAGGGGGCAAGCGUUGUUCGGAAUUACUGGGCGUAAAGGGCGCGUAGGCGGCCUGCUAAGUCGAACGUGAAAUCCCCGGGCUCAACCCGGGAACUGCGUCCGAUACUGGCAGGCUUGAAUCCAGGAGAGGGAUGCGGAAUUCCAGGUGUAGCGGUGAAAUGCGUAGAUAUCUGGAGGAACACCGGUGGCGAAGGCGGCUUCCUGGACCGACACUGACGCUGAGGCGCGAAAGCUAGGGGAGCAAACGGG